RNAcentral lists this long non-coding RNA (936 nucleotides) under Capsella grandiflora. Its description in RNAcentral is "long non-coding RNA (CGRA_LNC000765)". Lineage: Eukaryota; Viridiplantae; Streptophyta; Magnoliopsida; Brassicales; Brassicaceae. The record is from RNAcentral.
UGCAACUAACUUCGACAAAUUCUGGUUUUGAACCCACAGUGUAGUCUAUAACAAAUUUGUUGAUGACAAAGCAAUAAAAAGGAAUACAUUCAAAUCCUAUGUUUUGAUUUGGUGUUGAAGCAUGGUUGAGUGAUCCUACUCACAUUAAUGGAGGGUGCUUCUUCUUUUGCUAAACCCGUUUCAGAAUCAACAUGUAAAAAAACAGUAACUCAACACAAGGUUCAAAUAUUAUUAUUUUUUGUAAAUCAGGAAAAGACAGAGACUUGAUGAUCUACGAUUCCUAAACUACGACCAUGUUUCUAGCUUCUCCUCCGCCUUACUCGUUUUUCACAGCACUGUUACAGCUUUUUGCGUUGCUAGCUCCUGGCGGGUUUGGUGCAUCCGACUCACCACACGCCCUAAGAACAGCCUCAUUCUACAAGAAACUCCCAAAAACUAUUAAAUACAGUACUUGUGUUGACAAAAAUACAUGAGGGUUGAGUUAAGCUUUUUAAAAUAAAUUUGUGGAUAAUUAACAGACAUGUUCGUUUGAGCUCAAAAUCACCAACAUACAUGUUGAUACAUCGACAAGCUUUACCAAAAAAAACAUAACGCAAGCAUACUGAGAGAUGGACAAGCACAUUUUCAGGAAAAUUGAAUUCCAAGUAUGCAGACUCUAAAUGUUUCUACUUUCUACAUUGGUUCUUUUAUAGAUCAGUAAAGCCCAUAUACUCAAUUCCUAGUUCGAGAUUAAGAAGCCUAAGGCCUACAAAGAACGAAAUCUUGAGCAGCAUAAGUAUACUUACUAACUACACAAUUGGCCUUGUCAUAACUCAUUACAGCUAAUCAAACCUGAGGUGACCGCAUCACAUAAAACUGAACAAUGCCUGAAACCAUUUGUGCAAAUGAAACUCAUCAUUUUGAAAUGAAUCUACCAACAUUUUCUCAAGAAACGUC